This 299-nucleotide ribosomal RNA is filed under the name uncultured bacterium. RNAcentral describes it as "partial 16S ribosomal RNA". It matches the Rfam family "Bacterial small subunit ribosomal RNA", at positions 775 to 1067 of the family's 1533-position model. The record is from RNAcentral.
GGAUUAGAUACCCUGGUAGUCCUAGCCGUAAACGAUGGGUACUGGGUAGAAAGCGUUCCGAUGGCGCCUUCUGCCGGAGCGAAAGCGUUAAGUACCCCGCCUGGGGAGUAUGGCCGCAAGGCUGAAACUCAAAGGAAUUGACGGGGGCUCACACCAGCGGUGGAGCAUGUGGCUUAAUUCGAGUCUACGCGAAGAACCUUAUCCUGGAUUUGACAUGCACGGAUUAACUCCCUGAAGGGGAGCCACGCCUUCGGGUGGAACGUGCACAGGUGCUGCAUGGCUGUCGUCAGCUCGUGCUG